This is a non-coding RNA of Mycena vulgaris, 92 nucleotides long. NCBI's taxonomy places the organism in Eukaryota, Fungi, Basidiomycota, Agaricomycetes, Agaricales, Mycenaceae. The record is from the annotation of a GenBank genome assembly.
GAGGGUGUGGUGUAUGGUGCACGCUCCCUCUCUUUGCUAAAGAAUAUUCAGAAUGCAUGGGAGAGGACCAGGUUCGAUUCCUGGCGCCCGAA